GUUCUGCUGUGAUGAUUUAAGAAUCAAUAUUCACAUGUCAGACUUCAGAGAUUUUUUUUCUAAAUCGAUGAGAAUGACAUUCUUCUUCACUGAGCAGAAA
Gastrolobium bilobum is the source of this 100-nucleotide small nucleolar RNA. RefSeq annotates it as small nucleolar RNA R64/Z200 family. Lineage: Eukaryota; Viridiplantae; Streptophyta; Magnoliopsida; Fabales; Fabaceae. The record is from RefSeq and is a predicted model, not a curated record. The transcript has a single exon.